AUGUGGGAGAUCCUCAUGUCAGAUUCAAAGCAUUUUGAUUAUGCACAAGGUCGACGAAAAAGACUUGUAUCAGAAAAGCUUCACAAGCUGACUAAUAUCUUCCAUGCAAAUUCAGCUUUCUUCACCCCUGUGUGUUGGGAUUUUAGUUCUUCCUAUUCUUCAAGCCUUAAAUGUUUUGUUGGUAAAGAUCUAAAAUGUUGGCUUCUUUCUUACCAUUUAUCAAUUCUCUUGUGUUGGUGGGGUGUGGGGUAGGGGCACAAAAUAAUCCAGUGAUGGGAAGGUUAAAUGCAAGAAUACCUCCUCACCCAAUUAAUCCACUCAUGAUCUGUGCUACAAUUAAAUAUACAAAAAAAUUAUCGCAAACCCCAUUCGGACAAAUGACAAACUCUAUGUGUUAAAUUCAGUACCGUUAAUUUUCUCGUUUUUAUUAUCUCUAUAGGAACCCUAAUUUGGUGUGGAUGAUGCUCUGAUUAAGAUUUUUUUGUGAUUUAUUACGGCAGCGCGGAAACACACCCAAGGCUGUGCUGGGCUGUA
Molecule: long non-coding RNA, 534 nt
Filed under: Prunus dulcis (almond)
Lineage: Eukaryota; Viridiplantae; Streptophyta; Magnoliopsida; Rosales; Rosaceae
Description: sRNA ncRNA
Source: RNAcentral